GGGGAUACAGCUCAGGGGUAGAGCGUUUGCCUAGUGUGCACAAGGCCCUGGGUUCAAUCCCCAGUACCCCCC
This is a non-coding RNA of Sciurus carolinensis (gray squirrel), 72 nucleotides long. Lineage: Eukaryota; Metazoa; Chordata; Mammalia; Rodentia; Sciuridae. The record is from the annotation of a RefSeq genome assembly.